GUGAUUUUACUGCUUCUUGCUCGUACUACACAUCCGUGUCUCAUCAACAGAUGGUACAGGCACACUGAAACACACAGCUUUUCUCCUCAAUUUCUUCACUCACCGCUUGUAGGUCCCUUGGGCUCCCGCUCAGCUCCGCGAUGUGACACCGCACUUCCCGAACAGACGCAGGUCGCGCCUUAACCCGCAUCGCGACAUCGGGACAACAUUCCACAUGGCAGCUUUUCAGACCACUCCAUGGAGGUUGAUUUCAGGGAUCUUAGGAGUACUAUGCCUUUUGUUGAUGGCUGCUUUGGGAGUUUUGUUGAAACAUUCAUCUGCUAAACAAAACGAUCAGCCAACAUUCUCUCCAGGACCCUCCAUAGAUCUCCAGGAAGGAUCUGACUGCUGUUCUUGCCAAGAAAAGUGGGUUGGGUACCAGUGCAACUGUUACUUCAUUUCUAAUGAAUUAAAAACAUGGAAAGACAGUAGCAAUUUUUGUGCUUCUCAUAAUUCCAGCCUACUUCAGAUGCAAAGCAGAAAUGAACUGCAGCACUUUCUGAGCCCCAGUUCGUACCUUUACUGGAUCGGACUCUCUUACAGUGAAGAACAUCGUGCCUGGCUGUGGGAGGAUAAUUCCACCCUCUCCAAAGAUCUGAACACUAUGACUAAGAUACCCUGCUCAAGGCAUGAAAAUACAGAAAAGAGAAUAGAUGAAACCGAAUAACAACUUUAGCCCCAUCCAUAACACCCAAGUGUACGCCCAAGGAAUGUGAAGUUAGUGUACUUGUGACUCUAGAAGAGAUUUUGAUAUAUGCCUUUUUUCCUGCCCGGGUACCAGCACUUGGACAUGUACAUAUUUCUAUUAUCCCACCCUGUAAAUCCAAAAAGCUGCAUAAUCUAUAACCCAAGCUACAGUGUUUUGGAUGAAAACUGCAGAAGUAAAUAUCGUUACAUCUGUAAGCAAUGGCUUAUUUAGUUGUUUCAUGGGACAGAUGGGGUUGGCAAUAAAGAUCCAGUAUUACUUAGAUAAGCAACAUAUUAUUACUACUUACCUACUUCUGGAAUCUGUAAAGUGUUUCAAAACUGUGUCUUUUCAUACAUUUUUCACAUAUUUGAAAACACUUGUUUAAAAAGUUUUUUUUAUCAAGAUGUAAUUGACACACAACAUUAUAUUAGUUUCAGGUGUACAACUUAACAAUAACUAGACACUGUCUCAUUGACAUCCAUCACCAUACAUAGUUAGAAUUUUUGGUUUUACUAUGUGUUUUAAAAUUGAUGAAACUUGUGUGCCUAUCCCUGAAAUUGUAAAGAGUCAAGAUAAAGAAUUUCAUAAAUGUUUAAUGUAUAUGUUAAAUAUUGAAUGUUAUAGUUUUAUGAAUAGGUUCUUGUAAAAUCUCUUAAAAAUUUAAAUAAAACUUAAUUCAUGCCAAAUAA
This is an RNA transcript of Camelus dromedarius (Arabian camel), 1416 nucleotides long. It is a transcript of the gene named natural killer cells antigen CD94, with no coding region annotated. Lineage: Eukaryota; Metazoa; Chordata; Mammalia; Artiodactyla; Camelidae. The transcript is spliced from 7 exons. The record is from RefSeq and is a predicted model, not a curated record.